AUUCCCAUUUUAGUACCGCUUUUUUCGAUUCCCAGAAUAAGCGGCUAUGCUAAUGGGAAAGAAUAAUCUCUGCCAUAGUUUGAAGGAGUGUUACAUUUAUAUAACGUCUCCUACAUGAAAAGGCAGAACAGAAAUUU
Xenopus laevis (African clawed frog) is the source of this 137-nucleotide non-coding RNA. The record is from Rfam. Lineage: Eukaryota; Metazoa; Chordata; Amphibia; Anura; Pipidae.